This 398-nucleotide ribosomal RNA is filed under the name uncultured bacterium. RNAcentral describes it as "bacterial SSU rRNA". It matches the Rfam family "Bacterial small subunit ribosomal RNA", at positions 29 to 410 of the family's 1533-position model. The record is from RNAcentral.
AACGAACGCUGGCGGCGUGCCUAACACAUGCAAGUCGUGCGAGAAAGUUCCUUCGGGAGCGAGUAAAGCGGCGCACGGGUGAGUAACACGUAGGUAACCUGCCCCCCAGUCUGGAACAACUAGAGGAAACUCUAGCUAAUGCCGGAUGAGACCACGAUCCCUUCGGGGGUUGCGGCCAAAGAUGGCCUCUACUUGUAAGCUAUCGCUGAGGGAUGGGCCUGCGGGCCAUGAGCUUGUUGGUGAGGUAACGGCUCACCAAGGCUGUGAUGGCUAGCUGGUCUGAGAGGAUGACCAGCCACACUGGGACUGAGACACGGCCCAGACUCCUACGGGAGGCAGCAGUGGGGAAUAUUGCGCAAUGGGCGAAAGCCUGACGCAGCGACGCCGCGUGGGUGAUG